AUUAAGUACGACUAAGUAGUACCUUAGCGGCGGACGGGUGAGUAACGCGUGGGCAACCUGCCUUGAACAGGGGGAUAACACAGGGAAACUUGUGCUAAUACCGCAUAACAUUAUCUGAUGGCAUCGUUAGAUAAUCAAAGGAGCAAUCCGGUUUAAGAUGGGCCCGCGUCCAAUUAGCUAGUUGGUGAUGUAACGGACCACCAAGGCGACGAUUGGUAGCCGAACUGAGAGGUUGAUCGGCCACAUUGGGACUGAGACACGGCCCAGACUCCUACGGGAGGCAGCAGUGGGGAAUAUUGCGCAAUGGGGGAAACCCUGACGCCAGCAACGCCGCGUGAAGGAUGAAGGCUUUCGGGUUGUAAACUUCUUUGAUGAGGGACGAAACAAAUGACGGUACCUCAAAAACAAGCCUACGGCUAACUACGUGCCAGCAGCUGC
Molecule: ribosomal RNA, 438 nt
Filed under: uncultured bacterium
Lineage: Bacteria
Description: bacterial SSU rRNA
Rfam family: Bacterial small subunit ribosomal RNA
Source: RNAcentral